This 328-nucleotide long non-coding RNA is filed under the name Durio zibethinus. Its description in RNAcentral is "long non-coding RNA (DZIB_LNC001753)". The record is from RNAcentral. Lineage: Eukaryota; Viridiplantae; Streptophyta; Magnoliopsida; Malvales; Malvaceae.
AAGAUUAAAACAUGAAGAUGAACAACAGAUACGCAACCCAACAAAGAGAAGCUGAUACAGAGGGGAAGCCAAGAAAGAAAACAAAGACAUGAAACAAGGUGCAUGAUGAAAUAUCAUGCAAAAUUCAUCAGACUAGGCAACAGAGAAGAAAAAACGACAAAAAAGAUAAGAAACCCGAGAAAAAUGGGAAGUAGAAGAAUAAAAGACAAUGGAGAUACCAUUGAGAAGAAACUGAAACACUUCAGAAAUAGUCAGAUAUUGUUUGACAUGAAGCCAACAAUAGAAAAACACAACAGUGGAUAAGGGAACAAAGGGGGUGGGAGGGAAA